This 769-nucleotide ribosomal RNA is filed under the name Streptococcus oralis subsp. tigurinus. RNAcentral's name for it is "bacterial SSU rRNA". It matches the Rfam family "Bacterial small subunit ribosomal RNA", at positions 36 to 788 of the family's 1533-position model. The record is from RNAcentral. Lineage: Bacteria; Bacillati; Bacillota; Bacilli; Lactobacillales; Streptococcaceae.
CUGGCGGCGUGCCUAAUACAUGCAAGUAGAACGCUGAAGAGAGGAGCUUGCUCUUCUUGGAUGAGUUGCGAACGGGUGAGUAACGCGUAGGUAACCUGCCUGGUAGCGGGGGAUAACUAUUGGAAACGAUAGCUAAUACCGCAUAAAAUGGAUUAUCGCAUGAUAAUUCAUUGAAAGGUGCAAAUGCAUCACUACCAGAUGGACCUGCGUUGUAUUAGCUAGUUGGUGGGGUAACGGCUCACCAAGGCGACGAUACAUAGCCGACCUGAGAGGGUGAUCGGCCACACUGGGACUGAGACACGGCCCAGACUCCUACGGGAGGCAGCAGUAGGGAAUCUUCGGCAAUGGACGGAAGUCUGACCGAGCAACGCCGCGUGAGUGAAGAAGGUUUUCGGAUCGUAAAGCUCUGUUGUAAGAGAAGAACGAGUGUGAGAGUGGAAAGUUCACACUGUGACGGUAUCUUACCAGAAAGGGACGGCUAACUACGUGCCAGCAGCCGCGGUAAUACGUAGGUCCCGAGCGUUGUCCGGAUUUAUUGGGCGUAAAGCGAGCGCAGGCGGUUAGAUAAGUCUGAAGUUAAAGGCUGUGGCUUAACCAUAGUACGCUUUGGAAACUGUUUAACUUGAGUGCAAGAGGGGAGAGUGGAAUUCCAUGUGUAGCGGUGAAAUGCGUAGAUAUAUGGAGGAACACCGGUGGCGAAAGCGGCUCUCUGGCUUGUAACUGACGCUGAGGCUCGAAAGCGUGGGGAGCAAACAGGAUUAGAUACCCU